GGGUGUCGACCGUAGCAAGAACAGAGAGGGGAAAACCCUCAAGCUUAACAAAUUCAGCAAAUUGAAGAUGAUUUAAGGACAAAUUCGAAUGCAUGUCUUUAAUUUCUCAAUCAUCUAAGUAUCCAAAAACCCUAGAUAAUUGAAGUGUGCGUAUGCAAUGGAUAUUGUGAAAGCUAAACGUGAAAUGUUGCACCCUAUGGGCGAAGAAAGAAGAAGGUACAAGUCAAUCCAAGGCGCUAGGAACAUGAGAUCACGGUAAAGCCGUACUCUAAACGGCGCGCUACGCUCGGAACGAACUCCAUGAUGCCCUUUACGCGCUUCCGGUUUAUGUUUAGUGUCAAUGGGUCAAACUACUUUUGGAUUGUAAAUGUCGUUUUAAAUGUUUAUGUCUUUUGUAAGUAAGUUUAAAGUUUAUACUUUAAAUAUGUUAGAAUUGGUCAACUUUGGUUUUAAAGUUUGAUAAUUGUGUUGGUUGGUAUAUAUACAAGGGCAUU
Molecule: long non-coding RNA, 494 nt
Filed under: Helianthus annuus (common sunflower)
Lineage: Eukaryota; Viridiplantae; Streptophyta; Magnoliopsida; Asterales; Asteraceae
Description: hypothetical non coding rna
Source: RNAcentral